This 1372-nucleotide ribosomal RNA is filed under the name uncultured bacterium. RNAcentral describes it as "bacterial SSU rRNA". It matches the Rfam family "Bacterial small subunit ribosomal RNA", at positions 28 to 1381 of the family's 1533-position model. The record is from RNAcentral.
GAUGAACGCUGGCGGCGUGCCUAAUACAUGCAAGUCGAGCGAACGGACGAGAAGCUUGCUUUUCUGAUGUUAGCGGCGGACGGGUGAGUAACGCGUGGAUAACCUACCUAUAAGACUGGGAUAACUUCGGGAAACCGGAGCUAAUACCGGAUAAUAUUUUGAACCGCAUGGUUCAAAAGUGAAAGACGGUCUUGCUGUCACUUAUAGAUGGAUCCGCGCUGCAUUAGCUAGUUGGUAAGGUAACGGCUUACCAAGGCAACGAUGCAUAGCCGACCUGAGAGGGUGAUCGGCCACACUGGAACUGAGACACGGUCCAGACUCCUACGGGAGGCAGCAGUAGGGAAUCUUCCGCAAUGGGCGAAAGCCUGACGGAGCAACGCCGCGUGAGUGAUGAAGGUCUUCGGAUCGUAAAACUCUGUUAUUAGGGAAGAACAUAUGUGUAAGUAACUGUGCACAUCUUGACGGUACCUAAUCAGAAAGCCACGGCUAACUACGUGCCAGCAGCCGCGGUAAUACGUAGGUGGCAAGCGUUAUCCGGAAUUAUUGGGCGUAAAGCGCGCGUAGGCGGUUUUUUAAGUCUGAUGUGAAAGCCCACGGCUCAACCGUGGAGGGUCAUUGGAAACUGGAAAACUUGAGUGCGGAAGAGGAAAGUGGAAUUCCAUGUGUAGCGGUGAAAUGCGCAGAGAUGUGGAGGAACACCAGUGGCGAAGGCGACUUUCUGGUCUGUAACUGACGCUGAUGUGCGAAAGCGUGGGGAUCAAACAGGAUUAGAUACCCUGGUAGUCCACGCCGUAAACGAUGAGUGCUAAGUGUUAGGGGGUUUCCGCCCCUUAGUGCUGCAGCUAACGCAUUAAGCACUCCGCCUGGGGAGUACGACCGCAAGGUUGAAACUCAAAGGAAUUGACGGGGGCCCGCACAAGCGGUGGAGCAUGUGGUUUAAUUCGAAGCAACGCGAAGAACCUUACCAAAUCUUGACAUCCUUUGACAACUCUAGAGAUAGAGCCUUCCCCUUCGGGGGACAAAGUGACAGGUGGUGCAUGGUUGUCGUCAGCUCGUGUCGUGAGAUGUUGGGUUAAGUCCCGCAACGAGCGCAACCCUUAAGCUUAGUUGCCAUCAUUAAGUUGGGCACUCUAAGUUGACUGCCGGUGACAAACCGGAGGAAGGUGGGGAUGACGUCAAAUCAUCAUGCCCCUUAUGAUUUGGGCUACACACGUGCUACAAUGGACAAUACAAAGGGCAGCGAAACCGCGAGGUCAAGCAAAUCCCAUAAAGUUGUUCUCAGUUCGGAUUGUAGUCUGCAACUCGACUACAUGAAGCUGGAAUCGCUAGUAAUCGUAGAUCAGCAUGCUACGGUGAAUACGUUCCCGGGUCU